Molecule: long non-coding RNA, 1017 nt
Filed under: Sinocyclocheilus grahami
Lineage: Eukaryota; Metazoa; Chordata; Actinopteri; Cypriniformes; Cyprinidae
Description: lncRNA (ENSSGRG00000019539.1)
Source: RNAcentral
CCUUACUUUAUUGUACCCAAGAAAGGCGGUGGGUUGAGACCUAUCUUGGACCUGCGCGUCGUGAACCGGGCCCUUCACCGGCUCCCGUUCAAGAUGCUCACGCAGAAAUGCAUUUUCAGGUGUAUCCGUCCCCAAGACUGGUUCGCAGCGAUCGACCUGAAGGACGCGUACUUUCAUGUCUCGAUCCUUCCGCGCCACAGGCCAUUCCUGCGGUUUGCGUUCGAGGGGCGGGCAUACCAGUACAAGGUCCUGCCCUUCGGGCUGUCCCUGUCGCCCCGUGUCUUUACGAAAGUUACGGAGGCAGCCCUUGUUCCCACGAGAGAGCAGGGCAUUCGCAUCAACUACCUCGACAAUUGGCUCAUACUCGCCCAGUCUCAGGAUCAGUUGUGCAAGCACAGGGACUUGGUGUUUUCACACCUCAGCCUGUUGGGCCUUCAGGUCAACUGGGAAAAGAGCAAACUCCCCCCGACGCAGAGGAUCUCUUUUCUCGGUAUGGAGUUGGACUCGGUAGAACAGACAGCACGCCUCACGCAGGAACGUGCUCAGUCGGUGUUGAACUGCUUGAAUACAUUCAAGAGCAGGAUGGCGGUCCCACUGAAAUUGUUUCAGAGGCUCCUGGGGCAUAUGGCGGCCACGGCGGCAGUCACGCCACUGGGGCUACUCCAUAUGAGACCGCUGCAGCACUGGCUCCAUGGCCGAGUCCCGAGGUGGGCGUGGCAACGCGGCACCUUCCGGGUCCAAGUGACACCGGCCUGCCGCCAAAACCUUCACCCCGUGGUCAGACCUUGCGUUCCUCCGGGCAGGAGUGCCCCUGGAGCAGGUCUCCAGGCAUGCUGGCAGAUGCCUCAACCACCGGCUGGGGGGCCACGUACAACGGGCUUGCAGUGUCAGGGGUUUGGACGGGGCCCCGACUGCACUGGCACAUCAACUGCCUCGAGUUGCUGGCAGUACUUCCUUGUAUGUGUAAACAUACCUGGCAAUAAAGCUCAUUCUCAUUCUGAUUCUGAUUCUGAUUCU